Molecule: long non-coding RNA, 1696 nt
Organism: Macaca mulatta (Rhesus monkey)
Lineage: Eukaryota; Metazoa; Chordata; Mammalia; Primates; Cercopithecidae
Source: Ensembl
AGGGUCAAAUCCUGCAGGUCCUGACUUUAUUCAAGACACCUUAUAAUUCAGUCAUCUUUUCAAAAAGGAAGCCAUAGAUAGGACCGACAUGUUCCAAAACACCUGUUUUAAAGAUUACUCUGUUAGUAAUUUAGUAACUACUGAGUUGCUAAAGAACCUAGUAAUUUCUAAAUUACUGAGAAAUGGAUUAGAGGUAGUCAAGAGGAGACGCUGGUAUUCCAGGGCAGAGGUUUUAGUAGUUACCCACAACAGAGGGAUAAGAGACAGGGUCAUGCUCUGUCAAAGUAUUCUUGCAUGAUAAGUACAAGUGAAGACCUGGGUAGACCAAAUACCCUGAGUUUUAUGUGAAAUUAUCAGUGGGUUUCCUAGUUAUCACAGCUGAACAGUUAAGGCACUGCAGGUGUCUUUAUUUCAGUUGACCAUUUCUGACAAGACACACUUUGAAAAAUCAACUUCCUCUACAUAAAACAAUAUUUAGUUUAUAAUUCCUUAUUAUAGCUAAAAGUAAAAAAAAAUGCACUAUCCAUAAUAUGUGAAAUGCAAACACUCUGCAAUUUAUUGAGUACUUUAUUUUAGUUUUCAAGAUAAAGGGGGAUAAUACAUGAUAAGAUGCUGUCCUUCAAGAAGUUUAGUUUCUGGUUGGGGGAAGGAGAUAUGAUAAAUACAGAAAUGACUACUGGACAUGAUGGGAAAUGUUAACUGAUAGAGGUGGCACCAUGUAGUUGAUAUUUCAGUUCCGAAAAGGGAGUUGCUGAAGACUGGAAGCUUAGUGGAAAAGCUGGCUUCGAGAGGGGCUUGGCAGGAGUGCGGAAUGUGGAUAUACAGAUGACGAGGAAGGGCUUUGAACCAGCCACAGAAGGAAAACAAUGUAAGAAAUUGUGUCUUCCACUCCAUGAAGGGAAGUCAUGGGAAACAGUCUACAGUCUACACAGCCUGAGGGGCUGUGGUAAUGAACUUGGGCCAUGUGUCAGCACAUGGGUGAGCCAGUAAAUGCUUAUGCAAGUAAAUGGACAGAGAUUCGAUUAUUUGAAGAUGACCUGGAAGAGAUGGGUACGAUUGAUUACAGCAGGAAAGGAGUGGAGUUAGUGAGACUCUAGGGAACACUCUCAUUAUUGAGCCAAAACAUAGCAUGCACCAAGGGCCUGAAACAAGAACGUGGUCUGCAGACAAGGAGAAGAUGAAUAAGAGAUACCAUGAAAUCACAAUUCAAGUUGACUAGAUGUUCAGCCUGAGUUUUGGAAAAAAGAUGUGAUAGGAACUUCGGAGAGAAAAGCAGGUUUGGGAAAGACGUGGAGUUUCUCUGUGACCGUGCUGAGACGGGGUGUGGGCAGGGCAGAGGGGCUUACAUGUUACCAGGUGGCUGGGAAGGUGGACCAAAUUUUAGAAAGUGGUUCGGGCAUCUGUAUACCCAAAUUUGGGAGUGAUCUACAAACAAGUCUCAGUAAAAGAAUGAGAUAACUAAGGGAAGAACACAUAAUGUAUAUUUUAUGAAUUAUUUAAGCUUUUAAAAUAUGAAUGCAUGCUAUUUUUCAAAGUAUAUUUGUUUUCUUAAAAGAAUGAGAUGGAUUUUGUGAUUGGGACAUGGUUUUGGGGCAUAUUCCUGUAAUAGAGAACAGGUUUUAAGAGAAAGAAAAGAUUUCCUAUAUUAACUUGUCUUUAUUUCGUGUUUGUUUUUCCAAGGAGAUGAACGUGAAGC